GGGAGCAUGCUCCGAGUACUCUGACUGGAAAAGUAAACCAGCUAGAAGUCAUCCUCCGGCAACUUCAAACGGACCUGAGAAAGGAAAAACAGGACAAGGCAGUUCUCCAGGCAGAGGUACAGCAUCUGAGGCAAGAUAACAUGAGGCUUCAGGAGGAGUCUCAAACAGCAGCUGCUCAACUGAGGAAAUUUACAGAGUGGUUUUUCAAUACGAUAGACAAAAAAUCCUAAUGGCUGGGCCGCUGGAAAAAUACUUAUUGGAACAAUGUAACAGCUGUAUUUUUUUGAAUUAGCGGGGUAAUAAUUUCACUGUGUUCACAAUCCAUUUUAGGUGUUUCUGCUACAUUCUCUAUCCAGCUUUAUUCACUUGAAAAGGAGAGAGAACUGUGGUCACCCAUCUUUAAAUCCCUGUGAAGAAAGCGGAGAGUAGCAGAUAUUUGUUUGUGUGCAGAUGAAUGUAAAAAAUCCUUAGUGUCAUUUUAGACAUUUUUAGAAGAUGCUCUGGCUGGGGCUUGCCUGAAGAGGAAUAUUUGGGGUUUUAGUUCCUGCAUUUCAGGUGCGCUGGUGAAGAUGUUAAAGCAAUUUACAUUAGCUUGGGCUUCGGUAUUGUAAGAUAAAAAGAAUAACCAGACAUAUACUUUAAUGUUUAAAAGGUGCUCUAUUUUUUUGGAUGUACAGUAGGUUUAUUUCCACGGUCCACAUUGUCAUAGCAAUAACAAUGGAGGUAUAGUGAAUAGUCACAAAGCUGUGUUUAUAAAAUGUUAGCACUGAUGUGUUUAACACUAGUUUGGAUGCAGAUACAUUAGAGAUUAUUUAUUUGCAGGAACAAACGGUGCCUGAAUAUAAACAGUGUUCUGAUUUUCUAAAAAUACACAUGCCUUGUAAAUGGCUCACUGGGGUUAGCCCUCUCCCAACUUCAGUUACUUUUGUAUAGUUGAUGUUCAGCUAAACAGUUAUACUGCUUCACUGUUGGAAUCAUGUAUGGUGCGAGCCAGCCGAUCAAUUGUACAAUGCCAAAUUUGUUUAUCUUUGUACAGAAGCUUUGAUCAAGUGUCUUGUAUUUAACACCUUUAUUUAAGCUUAUUUAACCUUAAAUUGUUGUUUUUAUAAAGUUUAUUUUAUCUGCACUAUGGUGAGGUCAGUUGGUUGCAAGUUGUAAGAUUUUUAGCUUGCCAAGACUGUACUGAGGAGUUCUAGGAAAUUCUAACAAUUGGAUGCUGCUAGUCCACGACUGAUUUGUUUGUAUGCUUUAACAUUUUUAACUGUUUAAUUUGAAAUGAACAUACAUCCUGCUUUUUUAAUAAAUGUUAAAAACCUAAACGUGAA
Eurypyga helias (sunbittern) is the source of this 1325-nucleotide long non-coding RNA. RefSeq lists it as uncharacterized. The transcript has 2 exons. NCBI's taxonomy places the organism in Eukaryota, Metazoa, Chordata, Aves, Eurypygiformes, Eurypygidae. The record is from RefSeq and is a predicted model, not a curated record.